This 590-nucleotide ribosomal RNA is filed under the name uncultured Pseudomonadota bacterium. RNAcentral describes it as "bacterial SSU rRNA". It matches the Rfam family "Bacterial small subunit ribosomal RNA", at positions 104 to 690 of the family's 1533-position model. The record is from RNAcentral. Lineage: Bacteria; Pseudomonadati; Pseudomonadota.
GGUUGAGUAAUGUCUGGGAAACUGCCUGAUGGAGGGGGAUAACUACUGGAAACGGUAGCUAAUACCGCAUAACGUCGCAAGACCAAAGAGGGGGACCUUCGGGCCUCUUGCCAUCGGAUGUGCCCAGAUGGGAUUAGCUAGUAGGUGGGGUAACGGCUCACCUAGGCGACGAUCCCUAGCUGGUCUGAGAGGAUGACCAGCCACACUGGAACUGAGACACGGUCCAGACUCCUACGGGAGGCAGCAGUGGGGAAUAUUGCACAAUGGGCGCAAGCCUGAUGCAGCCAUGCCGCGUGUAUGAAGAAGGCCUUCGGGUUGUAAAGUACUUUCAGCGGGGAGGAAGGGAGUAAAGUUAAUACCUUUGCUCAUUGACGUUACCCGCAGAAGAAGCACCGGCUAACUCCGUGCCAGCAGCCGCGGUAAUACGGAGGGUGCAAGCGUUAAUCGGAAUUACUGGGCGUAAAGCGCACGCAGGCGGUUUGUUAAGUCAGAUGUGAAAUCCCCGGGCUCAACCUGGGAACUGCAUCUGAUACUGGCAAGCUUGAGUCUCGUAGAGGGGGGUAGAAUUCCAGGUGUAGCGGUGAAAUGCG